GUCGCUUUUCAGCCUUUUGGCUAAGAUCAAGUGUAGUAUCUGUUCUUAUCAGAAUUGAUUUCAUAAGUUUUCAAAAAAUUAUUUCAAAGGCAGAUUGACAUAGAGCCAAAGAUCUUCCUUCUGCUGGUUCAUUACCUAAAUACUUGAAAUAGCCAGGACUGGACCAGGCUAA
Molecule: small nuclear RNA, 172 nt
Organism: Oryctolagus cuniculus (rabbit)
Lineage: Eukaryota; Metazoa; Chordata; Mammalia; Lagomorpha; Leporidae
Gene: U2
Rfam family: U2 spliceosomal RNA
About the family: U2 is a small nuclear RNA (snRNA) component of the spliceosome (involved in pre-mRNA splicing). Complementary binding between U2 snRNA (in an area lying towards the 5' end but 3' to hairpin I) and the branchpoint sequence (BPS) of the intron results the bulging out of an unpaired adenosine, on the BPS, which initiates a nucleophilic attack at the intronic 5' splice site, thus starting the first of two transesterification reactions that mediate splicing.
Source: Ensembl